This is a ribosomal RNA of Lepisosteus oculatus (spotted gar), 119 nucleotides long. Lineage: Eukaryota; Metazoa; Chordata; Actinopteri; Semionotiformes; Lepisosteidae. The record is from Ensembl.
GUAAGCAGCCAUAUCGCCCUGCAACUCACAACUGGCAACCCACUGAAGCUAAGCAGGUGUGAGCCUGGUCAGUACCUGGAUGGGAGACCUCCUGGGAAAAACUAAGGUUGCUGCUGGAC